UACGUAGGGGGCAAGCGUUGUCCAGAUUUAUUGGGCGUAAAGAGCGUGUAGGCGGCUUCACAAGUCCGCUGUGAAAACUCGAGGCUCAACCUCGAGCUGUCGGUGGAAACUGUGAGGCUAGAGUCCGGAAGAGGAGAGUGGAAUUCCCGGUGUAGCGGUGAAAUGCGGCAGAUAUCGGGAAGAACACCCGUGGCGAAGGCG
Molecule: ribosomal RNA, 201 nt
Filed under: uncultured bacterium
Lineage: Bacteria
Description: partial 16S ribosomal RNA
Rfam family: Bacterial small subunit ribosomal RNA
Source: RNAcentral